AAGAGUAAAAAUAUAUUAUUGCCACAAGUACCUAACCGACGAGUUUUAAAUAAUAAUAGAUAUAGUUACCUACUUAAAAGUAACACAGAUGGAUAAUUUAUAGGUCAACAAUGCAAGGUAAUUUUAUAAUAUAUUAUAUUUUGUGAUAGCUUUCUACAUCUUACAAAAAAAAUUAACACAUUACACAGCCAUAGGGCAUAGGUACACAAAUAUAAAAUUAUUAUAAUAGUAAGUAUUUAAAUAUUAAAAAAACUUAAAGAGAAAAUUGUAAUAUUAUUUUAAAUAUGGAGAAGUUUAACUAGGUUUAAUUAAGGCCGUGUUUCGCACGAGAGCUUUUUUUAACGUCCGUUAAAAAAGCGUUCAAAUAGAAAAAAUACAUUCCCAAGUACACACGUCAACGCUUUUUUAACGCGCACUUUGUAUUUUUAACGCAACGCUUUUUUAACGCUCGUGCGAAUUAGGGCUGAAGGGUCCAAGAAUGUAUGGAUGACAGUCAUUGCAGUUAACAAUACGAUAUAAGAUCUGUCAAAAGGAAUAAAAUUUAAAAUGGCUACUCAACUUCCCAGUAUUCGAUUUUGAGUUUUAAACUAUAUUUUAUAGCAAAA
Molecule: long non-coding RNA, 605 nt
Organism: Maniola jurtina (meadow brown)
Lineage: Eukaryota; Metazoa; Arthropoda; Insecta; Lepidoptera; Nymphalidae
Exons: 2
Source: RefSeq, a predicted model, not a curated record